AAUUUUGGACAAUGGGGGAAACUCUGAUCCAGCCAUCCCGCGUGUAUGAUGAAGGCAUUCGGGUUGUAAAGUACUUUUGGCAGAGAAGAAAAGGUAUCUCCUAAUACGAGAUAUAGCUGACGGUAUCUGCAGAAUAAGCAUCUGCUAACUACGUGCCAGCAGCAGCGGUAAUACGUAGGGUACAAGAGUUAAUCGGAAUUACUGGUCUUAAUGCGUCUAUAGGCAGUUCGGAACUAGAGAUGUGAAAACCCAGGGCUCAACCUUGGAACUGCAGUAUUAACUGCCGAGCUAGAGUAUAUCAGAGUGGGGUAGAAUUCCAAGUGUAGCAGUGAAAUGCGUAGAUAUGUGGAGGAAUACCGAUGGCGAAAGCAGCCCCCUGGGAUAAUACUGACGCUCAGACACGAAAGCGUGGGGAGCAAAC
RNAcentral lists this ribosomal RNA (421 nucleotides) under uncultured bacterium. Its description in RNAcentral is "partial 16S ribosomal RNA". It matches the Rfam family "Bacterial small subunit ribosomal RNA", at positions 360 to 773 of the family's 1533-position model. The record is from RNAcentral.